CAGCAGCCGCGGUAAUACGUAGGGUGCGAGCGUUAAUCGGAAUUACUGGGCGUAAAGGGCGCGUAGGCGGGCUGAUAAGUCGGGGGUGAAAUCCCAAGGCUCAACCUUGGAACUGCCUUUGAUACUGUUGGUCUUGAGUCCGGGAGAGGUGAGUGGAACUGCGAGUGUAGAGGUGAAAUUCGUAGAUAUCGGAAGGAACACCUGUGGCGAAAGCGGCUCACUGGACCAUUUCUGACGCUGAUGCACGAAAGCUAGGGGAGCAAACAGGAUUAGAUACCCCCGUAGUCCCUGUCUCUUAUAU
This 301-nucleotide ribosomal RNA is filed under the name uncultured bacterium. RNAcentral describes it as "partial 16S ribosomal RNA". It matches the Rfam family "Bacterial small subunit ribosomal RNA", at positions 509 to 809 of the family's 1533-position model. The record is from RNAcentral.